This is a non-coding RNA of Misgurnus anguillicaudatus (oriental weatherfish), 1107 nucleotides long. NCBI's taxonomy places the organism in Eukaryota, Metazoa, Chordata, Actinopteri, Cypriniformes, Cobitidae. The record is from RefSeq and is a predicted model, not a curated record.
AAAUAUACUUUAUUGUAUUUCAAGUAUAUUUAACUUUGCAAUAGUACAUUACAAAUAUACUUACAAAGGAAUGUACUUUCUUUAAACAUAUUUAAAGUAUGCUUACAACAUAUUUGCGCGUAUUUUUUACAAUUAAACUUUAAACAUACUUCAAAAUAAUUAUACUUUAGUAUAUUUUCUAAAAGUAUACUUUAGAAAAAUAUACUUAAAGUUAAAGUUUUGUGCAAUUUUUAAAGUAUACUAAAUGUAAACUUAUUUUAAAAUGUAUUUUAGGUAUACUUUAUCGGUAUGCUUAAAGUUAUCAUUAUAAUAAUGCACUGACAGUAUAUUUCUAAAAUACAUUAUUUAGUAUUCUUUAGAAACAGUAUAUUUUAAGCACAUUUUGAAAGUAUAUGGGGUGUACAAGUAUAUUAUUUUAUGGAGAAAUAACGUGGGCUUAAAAUUACGAGAGAGCAGUAUGUUCUGUUACAUUUUAUAUUGUAGAUGUAUACAUUUGUAAUAUACUAUUAACAUAAUAAGGUACACUUUAACUUCACUAUAGUCAAGCAUUGGAUAAACCAAUGAACUGUGUUUUACCACAAAAUGACCAUGGUUUUGCUAAUAAUAAUCAAUACACCAAAAAAAAAAAACAUGGUUACUAAACUUUUACCACAAAAAAACAUUCAUUUUCGUAAGGGGAAUAUGAGUGUUUGUUUUUUUGUAGUUUUUGAGUCAAUUGCAUACCGCUUUUAGCUGUACACAUUAAUUAACUUAAACAGUUUUCGUAAAUGCAUUUCAGAGAAAAGUGAAUUCUGAGAUUUGAAUAAUGCAUCUGACGUGUGGGAUGACGUCACGACGCACGUAUUUUGAUUUUUACCAGUCGCUCAAGACAGACGGAUUCAGUCCCAAGAAGCUAAAGUUUUUCAAAGACAUUUGUAGGGAGGACUUUGCAGCUAAUGAUUUCCUUAGGCUGAACCAAAACCUGCCAGACUAAAGUUGAUUUGGGAGAGAAAGACGUUGUAAACUUAAUCAUCUUGACAUUCUUCAAUGAGUAAUUGUUCAAUUUUUAGGCAAAUACUGUACACUUUGAAUGCUGUGAAUAAAACUAUAUUUUAAAUAUAUUUAAAA